RNAcentral lists this ribosomal RNA (973 nucleotides) under Janthinobacterium sp. UA-G068. RNAcentral's name for it is "bacterial SSU rRNA". It matches the Rfam family "Bacterial small subunit ribosomal RNA", at positions 66 to 1034 of the family's 1533-position model. Lineage: Bacteria; Pseudomonadati; Pseudomonadota; Betaproteobacteria; Burkholderiales; Oxalobacteraceae. The record is from RNAcentral.
ACGGCAGCACGGAGCUUGCUCUGGUGGCGAGUGGCGAACGGGUGAGUAAUAUAUCGGAACGUACCCUAGAGUGGGGGAUAACGUAGCGAAAGUUACGCUAAUACCGCAUACGAUCUAAGGAUGAAAGUGGGGGAUCGCAAGACCUCAUGCUCGUGGAGCGGCCGAUAUCUGAUUAGCUAGUUGGUAGGGUAAAAGCCUACCAAGGCAUCGAUCAGUAGCUGGUCUGAGAGGACGACCAGCCACACUGGAACUGAGACACGGUCCAGACUCCUACGGGAGGCAGCAGUGGGGAAUUUUGGACAAUGGGCGAAAGCCUGAUCCAGCAAUGCCGCGUGAGUGAAGAAGGCCUUCGGGUUGUAAAGCUCUUUUGUCAGGGAAGAAACGGUGAGAGCUAAUAUCUCUUGCUAAUGACGGUACCUGAAGAAUAAGCACCGGCUAACUACGUGCCAGCAGCCGCGGUAAUACGUAGGGUGCAAGCGUUAAUCGGAAUUACUGGGCGUAAAGCGUGCGCAGGCGGUUUUGUAAGUCUGAUGUGAAAUCCCCGGGCUCAACCUGGGAAUUGCAUUGGAGACUGCAAGGCUAGAAUCUGGCAGAGGGGGGUAGAAUUCCACGUGUAGCAGUGAAAUGCGUAGAUAUGUGGAGGAACACCGAUGGCGAAGGCAGCCCCCUGGGUCAAGAUUGACGCUCAUGCACGAAAGCGUGGGGAGCAAACAGGAUUAGAUACCCUGGUAGUCCACGCCCUAAACGAUGUCUACUAGUUGUCGGGUCUUAAUUGACUUGGUAACGCAGCUAACGCGUGAAGUAGACCGCCUGGGGAGUACGGUCGCAAGAUUAAAACUCAAAGGAAUUGACGGGGACCCGCACAAGCGGUGGAUGAUGUGGAUUAAUUCGAUGCAACGCGAAAACCUUACCUACCCUUGACAUGGCUGGAAUCCUCGAGAGAUUGAGGAGUGCUCGAAAGAGAACCAGUACA